RNAcentral lists this ribosomal RNA (374 nucleotides) under uncultured organism. Its description in RNAcentral is "bacterial SSU rRNA". It matches the Rfam family "Bacterial small subunit ribosomal RNA", at positions 526 to 897 of the family's 1533-position model. The record is from RNAcentral.
CGUAGGAGACGAGCGUUAUCCGGAUUUACUGGGCGUAAAGCGUGUGCAGGCGGUUCGGCAAGUUGGAUGUGAAAUCUCCCGGCUCAACUGGGAGGGGUCGUUCAAUACUACCGAACUUGAGGUCAUCAGAGGAAGGUGGAAUUCCGGGUGUAGUGGUGAAAUGCGUAGAUAUCCGGAGGAACACCAGUGGCGAAGGCGGCCUUCUGGGAUGAUCCUGACGCUCAGACACGAAAGCUAGGGGAGCGAACGGGAUUAGAGACCCCCGGUAGUCCUAGCUGUAAACGAUGUAGACUUGGCGUCGGAGGGUUCAAAACCUUCGGUGUCGUAGCUAACGCGAUAAGUCUACCGCCUGGGGACUACGGCCGCAAGGUUAA